GACGAACGCUGGCGGCGUGCUUAACACAUGCAAGUCGAACGGAAAGGCCCCUUCGGGGGUACUCGAGUGGCGCACGGGUGAGUAACACGUGAGUAACCUGCCCUUGACUUCGGGAUAACUUCAGGAAACUGGGGCUAGUACCGGAUAGGAAUCCUUGCUGCAUGGUGGGGGUUGGAAAGCUUCGGCGGUUUUGGAUGGACUCGCGGCUUAUCAGCUUGUUGGUGGGGUAGUGGCUUACCAAGGCUUUGACGGGUAGCCGGCCUGAGAGGGCGACCGGCCACAUUGGGACUGAGAUACGGCCCAGACACCGACGGGAGGCAGCAGUGGGGAAUAUUGAACAAUGGGCGGAAGCCUGAUGCAGCAACGCCGCGUGCGGGAUGACGGCCUUCGGGUUGGAAACCGCUUUCAGCAGGGGCGAAGCUUGUGGUGACGGUACCUGCAGAAGAAGCACCGGCUAACUACGUG
Molecule: ribosomal RNA, 465 nt
Filed under: uncultured bacterium
Lineage: Bacteria
Description: partial 16S ribosomal RNA
Rfam family: Bacterial small subunit ribosomal RNA
Source: RNAcentral